GGCCAGACUCCUACGGGAGGCAGCAUUGGGGGAUAUUGCACAAUGGGGGGAACCCUGAUGCAGCGACGCCGCGUGGGUGAAGGAGUAUUUCGGUAUGUAAAGCCCUAUCGGCAGGGAAGGAGCAAGACGGUACCUGACUAAGAAGCCCCGGCUAACUACGUGCCAGCAGCCGCGGUAAUACGUAGGGGGCAAGCGUUAUCCGGAUUCACUGGGUGUAAAGGGAGCGUAGACGGCGACGCAAGUCUGGAGUGAAAGCCCGGGGCCCAACCCCGGGACUGCUCUGGAAACUGCGGCGCUGGAGUACGGGAGGGGCAGGCGGAAUUCCUGGUGUAGCGGUGAAAUGCGUAGAUAUCAGGAGGAACACCGGCGGCGAAGGCGGCCUGCUGGACCGUGACUGACGUUGAGGCUCGAGAGCGUGGGGAGCAAACAGGAUUAGAUACCCGAGUA
RNAcentral lists this ribosomal RNA (447 nucleotides) under uncultured bacterium. RNAcentral's name for it is "partial 16S ribosomal RNA". It matches the Rfam family "Bacterial small subunit ribosomal RNA", at positions 329 to 792 of the family's 1533-position model. The record is from RNAcentral.